Molecule: ribosomal RNA, 575 nt
Filed under: Saccharomyces cerevisiae (brewer's yeast)
Lineage: Eukaryota; Fungi; Ascomycota; Saccharomycetes; Saccharomycetales; Saccharomycetaceae
Description: eukaryotic LSU rRNA
Rfam family: Eukaryotic large subunit ribosomal RNA
Source: RNAcentral
CACCGGUAUGCUUAGUACGGCGAGUGAGCGGCAAAAGCUCAAAUUUGAAAUCUGGUACCUUCGGUGCCCGAGUUGUAAUUUGGAGAGGGCAACUUUGGGGCCGUUCCUUGUCUAUGUUCCUUGGAACAGGACGUCAUAGAGGGUGAGAAUCCCGUGUGGCGAGGAGUGCGGUUCUUUGUAAAGUGCCUUCGAAGAGUCGAGUUGUUUGGGAAUGCAGCUCUAAGUGGGUGGUAAAUUCCAUCUAAAGCUAAAUAUUGGCGAGAGACCGAUAGCGAACAAGUACAGUGAUGGAAAGAUGAAAAGAACUUUGAAAAGAGAGUGAAAAAGUACGUGAAAUUGUUGAAAGGGAAGGGCAUUUGAUCAGACAUGGUGUUUUGUGCCCUCUGCUCCUUGUGGGUAGGGGAAUCUCGCAUUUCACUGGGCCAGCAUCAGUUUUGGUGGCAGGAUAAAUCCAUAGGAAUGUAGCUUGCCUCGGUAAGUAUUAUAGCCUGUGGGAAUACUGCCAGCUGGGACUGAGGACUGCGACGUAAGUCAAGGAUGCUGGCAUAAUGGUUAUAUGCCGCCCGUCUUGAACA